GCCUGCGUAGCUCAAUCGGAUCAGAGCGUGAGACUCUUAUCUUGAAAAUUUUCAAGCUUGCGGGUAUCUCAAGGUUGCGAGUUCGACCCUCGCCGUGGGCU
This 101-nucleotide transfer RNA is filed under the name Hypomontagnella monticulosa. RNAcentral's name for it is "tRNA-Lys". It matches the Rfam family "tRNA". Rfam says of the family: Transfer RNA (tRNA) molecules are approximately 80 nucleotides in length. Lineage: Eukaryota; Fungi; Ascomycota; Sordariomycetes; Xylariales; Hypoxylaceae. The record is from RNAcentral.